This 440-nucleotide ribosomal RNA is filed under the name uncultured bacterium. RNAcentral describes it as "partial 16S ribosomal RNA". It matches the Rfam family "Bacterial small subunit ribosomal RNA", at positions 338 to 795 of the family's 1533-position model. The record is from RNAcentral.
CCUACGGGUGGCAGCAGUGGGGAAUAUUGCACAAUGGGGGAAACCCUGAUGCAGCGACGCCGCGUGAGUGAAGAAGUAAUUCGUUAUGUAAAGCUCUAUCAGCAGGGACGAAAAUGACGGUACUUGAGUAAGAAGACCCGGCUAACUACGUGCCAGCAGCCGCGGUAAUACGUAGGGGGCAAGCGUUAUCCGGAUUUUCUGGGGGUAAAGGGAGCGUAGGCGGCAGAGCAAGUCUGGAGUGAAAGGCGGGGGCUCAACGCCGGGACUGCUCUGGAAACUGUACGGCUGGAGUGCAGGAGAGGUAAGUGGAAUUCCUGGUGUAGCAGUGAAAUGCGUAGAUAUUAGGAGGAACACCAGUGGCGAAGGCGACUUACUGGACUGUAACUGACGUUGAGGCUCGAAAGCGUGGGGAGCAAACAGGAUUAGAUACCCUGGUAGUC